This 626-nucleotide ribosomal RNA is filed under the name uncultured bacterium. RNAcentral describes it as "bacterial SSU rRNA". It matches the Rfam family "Bacterial small subunit ribosomal RNA", at positions 202 to 847 of the family's 1533-position model. The record is from RNAcentral.
GAAAACCACGGUGGUACAGGAUGGGCCCGCGUCUGAUUAGUUAGUUGGCAGGGUAACGGCCUACCAAGACGAUGAUCAGUAGCCGGCUUGAGAGAGUGGACGGCCACAUUGGGACUGAGACACGGCCCAGACUCCUGCGGGAGGCAGCAGUGGGGAAUAUUGCACAAUGGGGGGAACCCUGAUGCAGCAAUGCCGCGUGGGUGAAGAAGCACUCCGGUGCGUAAAGCCCUGUCAGCAGGGAAGAAAAUGACAGUACCUGACCAAGAAGCCCCGGCUAACUACGUGCCAGCAGCCGCGGUAAUACGUAGGGGGCAAGCGUUAUCCGGAUUUACUGGGUGUAAAGGGAGCGCAGGCGGUAUGGCAAGUCAGAUGUGAAAACCCAGGGCUCAACCCUGGGACUGCAUUUGAAACUGCCAUACUGGAGUGCCGGAGAGGUAAGUGGAAUUCCUAGUGUAGCGGUGAAAUGCGUAGAUAUUAGGAGGAACACCAGUGGCGAAGGCGGCUUACUGGACGGUAACUGACGCUGAGGCUCGAAAGCGUGGGGAGCAAACAGGAUUAGAUACCCUGGUAGUCCACGCUGUAAACGAUGAAUACUAGGUGUCGGGGUACAUAAGUACCUCGGUGCC